UGGAGUUGGGCUGUUGGGGGUACUGGAGGACUGGAGUUGGGCUGUGGGGGUACUGGAGGACUGGAGUUGGGCUGUUGGGGGUACUGGAGGACUGGAGUUGGGCUGUUGGGGGUACUGGAGGACCAGGGAAACACUGCACUAGAGCUUACAUUAACAUAAAACACUGGCUAACCACUGGUGUGGGGGUAAGACUCAGUGGAAAUGCAUCACCAUAGUACUAGACUAGUACUCAUAAUAAGUCAGUACUGCUGCAGUACUCGUAUACAGUACAGUUUAAGUCAGUACUGCUGUAGUACUCUUAUAUAGUACAGUUUCAGUCAGUACUGCUGUAGUACUCUUAUACAGUACAGUUUAAGUCAGUACUGCUGUAGUACUCUUAUACAGUACAGUUUCAGUCAGUACCGCUGUAGUACUCUUAUACAGUACAGUUUCAGUCAGUACCGCUGUAGUACUCGUAUACAGUACAGUUUCAGUCAGUACUGCUGUAGUACUCUUAUACAGUACAGUUUCAGUCAGUACUGCUGUAGUACUCUUAUACAGUACAGUUUCAGUCAGUACUGCUGUAGUACUCGUAUACAGUACAGUUUCAGUCAGUACUGCUGUAGUACUCGUAUACAGUACAGUUUCAGUCAGUACUGCUGUAGUACUCGUAUACAGUACAGUUUCAGUCAGUACUGCUGUAGUACUCGUAUACAGUACAGUUUCAGUCAGUACUGCUGUAGUACUCUUAUACAGUACAGUUUCAGUCAGUACUGCUGUAGUACUCAUAUACAGUACAGUUUCAGUCAGUACUGCUGUAGUACUCGUAUACAGUACAGUUUAAGUCAGUACUGCUGUAGUACUCUUAUACAGUACAGUUUCAGUCAGUACUGCUGUAGUACUCGUAUACAGUACAAUUUAAGUCAGUACUGCUGUAGUACUCUUAUACAGUACAGUUUCAGUCAGUACUGCUGUAGUACUCAUAUACAGUACAGUUUAAGUCAGUACUGCUGUAGUACUCUUAUACAGUGCAGUUUCAGUCAGUACUGCUGUAGUACUCAUAUACAGUACAGUUUCAGUCAGUACUGCUGUAGUACUCGUACACAAUACAGUUUAAGUCAGUACUGCUGUAGUACUCGUAUACAGUACAGUUUCAGUCAGUACUGCUGUAGUACUCGUAUACAGUACAGUUUCAGUCAGUACUGCUGUAGUACUCGUAUACAGUACAGUUUCAGUCAGUACUGCUGUAGUACUCGUAUACAGUACAAUUUAAGUCAGUACUGCUGUAGUACUCGUAUACAGUACAGUUUCAGUCAGUACUGCUGUAGUACUCUUAUACAGUACAAUUUAAGUCAGUGCUGCUGUAGUACUCUUAUACAGUACAGUUUUACUAUGCAAUUAGCUGUAGCCCCUAACAUGGCGAUCAAUCAUCAAUAAUAUCAUGAAGUUGGAUAAAAAUAUUGAUCAUAUUUAUAAUUCGCAUUGACAUUGAUAAAUGGUGCUGGACUGUAAUUAAGGUUAUGAGGUACACUAGUGACUUUACAUUGAGCCCUGGUAAUGGGAGCCUGGUACCAGAGUUAUCGGGUACACUGGUGACUCAGCUAGUCUGUUGAACUCUACAGGGGGGAAACAAUGAGCUCUGUAAGGGUUACACUGCAGGGGGAAACAAUGGGCUCUGUAAGGGUUACACUGCAGGGGGAAACAAUGAGCUCUGUAAGGGUUACACUGCAGGGGGAAACAAUGAGCUCUGUAAGGGUUACACUGCAGGGGAAAACAAUGAGCUCUGUAAGGGUUACACUGCAGGGGGAAACAAUGAGCUCUGUAAGGGUUACACUGCAGGGGGAAACAAUGAGCUCUGUCAGGGUUACACUGCAGGGGGAAACAAUGAGCUCUGUAAGGGUUACACUGCAGGGGGAAACAAUGAGCUCUGUAAGGGUUACACUGCAGGGGGAAACAAUGAGCUCUGUCAGAGUUACACUGCAGGUGAUUUUCACUAACAUCUACCAUGCUUUCAUCACCAUGUUAGAUUUUGUUUUUGUUCUUGAAUUAUCUGGUGCCAGGAGAGAAAGAUAAGAGUACAGAUGUAGGAUCUUAAUUUGAGCCAGUUUGCUGCAGCAGGAAAAUAAUCCUGCAGCAACAGGAAAUGUCAAUAGUUUUUUGUGGAUUAUAAUUCAUAUACUUUUUUGUAGUGGUUGAUAGGUUUUUCGUUAUGGUAAAUCAAGUUUGACAUUUUUAAGGGGAAAUUACAAACUUUAUAUGCCUUUUAAAACCUUGAAUUACCAUACAAUUUUGCAUUUCCUGCUGUGCAAGAAAUUCCUGCAGCAGGAUGAUCAAAUUAUGAUAUGGCAUCUGUAGUCGACUGACAAUUCAGGUGGUUGACUUUAAGUGCAAAAUCAAUGCACUGUAUGUUGAAACAGUAAGGUGUGAUCUGAAUAUGACUUCGCUGUAUAUAGGCUAAUCCCUCUGCAGUUUUGGGGUGUGGUGUUCUGUAUGCAAAAAUGUGCCUCUGAAUAUGCCUGUUUGGUUCAUUCAGCACGUCUGUAGUUUACAGUACGGUGUUGUACUUAUUUAAUGUAGUACUACAUACUGAGUAUGUAGUUUACAGUACGGUUUUGUUCCUAUUUAAUGUAGUACUACAUACUAAGUCUGUAGUUUACAGUACGGUGUUGUACUUAUUUAAUGUAGUGGUACAUACUGAGUCUGUAGUUUAACGUAUGGUGUUGUUCCUAUUUAAUGUAGUGCUACAUACUGAGUCUGUAGUUUACAGUACAGUGUUGUUCCUAUUUAAUGUAGUGCUGGUACAUACUGAGUCUGUAGUUUACAGUAUGGUGUUGUAAUUAUUUAAUGUAGUGCUGGUACAUACUGAGUCUGUAGUUUACAGUACGGUGUUGUUCCUAUUUAAUGUAGUACUACAUACCGAGUCUGUAGUUUACAGUACGGUGUUGUACUUAUUUAAUGUAGUACUACAUACUGAGUCUAGUUUACAGUAUGGUGUUGUUCCUAUUUAAUGUAGUGCUACAUACUGAGUCUGUAGUUUACAGUACGGUGUUGUUCCUAUUUAAUGUAGUACUAUAUACUGAGUCUGUAGUUUACAGUACUGUGUUGUACUUAUUUAAUGUAGUGGUAGAUACUGAGUCUGUAGUUUACAGUACGGUGUUGUACUUAUUUAAUGUAGUACUACAUACUGAGUCUGUAGUUUACAGUAUGGUGUUGUACUUAUUUAAUGUAGUGCUGGUACAUACUGAGUCUGUAGUUUACAGUACGGUGUUGUACUUAUUUAAUGUAGUACUACAUACUGAGUCUGUAGUUUACAGUACAG
RNAcentral lists this long non-coding RNA (3298 nucleotides) under Salmo salar (Atlantic salmon). Its description in RNAcentral is "lncRNA (ENSSSAG00000097312.1)". Lineage: Eukaryota; Metazoa; Chordata; Actinopteri; Salmoniformes; Salmonidae. The record is from RNAcentral.